RNAcentral lists this ribosomal RNA (432 nucleotides) under Triticum aestivum (bread wheat). RNAcentral's name for it is "partial small subunit ribosomal RNA". Lineage: Eukaryota; Viridiplantae; Streptophyta; Magnoliopsida; Poales; Poaceae. The record is from RNAcentral.
AUGCCACUGCUACAAAGAGUGCAAAAUAGAUUGAUGGGCUGUGCUACUAUGCUAUCUUCUGGAGACAAGCUUAUCCUCAUCAAAUCUGUGUUUACUAGUCUGCCUAUUUACUUCAUGUGCACCCUCAGGAUUCCUCUCACUGUGAUAACCCAACACAACACGGUUUUCAGAAACUAUUUUUGGAGGAAAUAUGGAGAACAAGAGAAAGGUCAAGCACUUAUUGCGUGGGCUAAAGUCUGCAAACCGACAAACCAAGGGGGUCUUGGAGUGCUAGAUAUCAAUAUUCACAAUCAAGCAUUGCUAAUGAAAUUCUUACACAAAUUCUUGAAUAAGGAAGACACUCCCUGGGUGAAGAUCAUUUGGGAGGCUCAUUACUCUUCAUCUCAGCCUGGAGAUAAACUGGUGGGCUUCUUCCGGUGGAGGAUGUUAUAA